CUCGAGGAGGUGAGCAAAGGCAGGUUUUUGCCCGGUCCAAAUGACUCACACAUUGUUUGGAUGUGGUUUGGAACGUUUUGCCCGCGUACGCAUGACUUACUUUAUAACCUGAGCACAUUCCAGGCAUACUGUGAAUUGGUUUUCCACCUGUAUAUGACGACGAAUGAUGAAGUCGAUUGCUUUGUGUUCCGCAGAAAGUUCAGUCUUGUCCGAACAGGCGAUUCAGCAUCGCCGUCGAUAAUCAGCGGCGUUGGCAUUUCACCAGUUUGUUUUUGCGACGAAUAGCGGCGUUAGGUACAUCUUGUCUGCAGAGCGUCACUGGUAUCAAGCGCGGUGUAAACUGUAUUGUGUGAUGAUGGCUCGUGGUACUUUCAUGUGAAUAUUCGCGUUGACUGUGGUAGGCAUCUGCAUAUUGCAUCCUUUAGGUGAUGCUAUGUCUGUCGCUGUUUCUUCGAAUGCUGUCUGGAUGUUUUUUUGACAGAUAUGAAAAUAUCAACGAUACUCGACAAAAACAAUUGCUAGCUGCCGGGACGUGUAGCGCUGCGACGCCUUCACAUCGUCGUUGCUCUGUCGUGGGACCGGUCUCGCGAUCUGUACUGAUGGAAAGGCCGUACGCGACCACACGAAAAACGGCAUGGCGUUGACUACUGAAGGGAGUGGAAGGAUAGGAGUUAUUGAGCCGAGCCUCAGCGCUGCCGACGGAAACGAUGUCUUGUGAGUUUCUUCGGGUACCCGACGCGGCGCUGGGACUAUAUUAGAUUGUGGGCAUCUGCCGGCUACGGACGGCAUCCGGUGGUGCAGAUGAAGUUAGCAUCUCGAGGCACAAGAGGCCACGAUGCAGGAAGACCAUGCCGCUUCGGCUGCAAGUGCUGCUGUGUCCAACAAGCUCGCGAGGGGCAUCGACGUGCGGAGGGGCUUUCCUCAAUGAGGCGUGGCUCCUGUCAAACCUGCUGGCAUCGACUGUUGGUCUGAACGGCUUUCCGUUGGCGAUUGGCUUCAGCGAGAAGAAGUAGGGACGGUGAAGCGCGAAUGCAGUCCCCAGCUAAUUUAUACGGCUAUGCAUGCGCCAGUGGGUGGGUCAAGAUGAAUCAGCGUUAGAGACGAAGCCCUCCAGGUUGUCUGACACGCGCAGAAGUAUAAACAAGAUUCUUUUUCUCGUAUCCGUAUCAGCCUUGCGUUGGUGUCCCAAUUUUGUGCAGUUUGAAGCGGUACGUCGCACAGAACGCCAGCAAGGAACGAUGUGCUACCCAGCGGCUUGCUAACAUACGCUUUACGUAGCUGUUAGCCCAUGCAUAUCCAGGCACAUUAUGACGUUUUCCUCCACCUGGCAGUAAUGGUGAUUCAAGAAAGCACGUUCAGUGUAAGGACGACACCGCACCGAACAUGCGACAUAGCACCGUCGUCGAUGUUCAAAUAUAAUGGCAUGUUACGUUUUUGCCUCGGUUAGCGAAUGCCGUUUUUUUCCCAUAUGUUCGAUACCCCCCUGAUAUUUUAUGUGUCGGGAGUAUUGAUUCUACGUGACAUACGCCUCCACUCGUGUCGACUCUGGGAGUUCACGCAAAGACAGUACGCAUCGCCUGGAGCACCGCGCGUGGUAGUCACCUGUGUGGUAGAGAGGUACUGGAGAGGGGGACAGCGAGGUACCGGUACUAGACGGGAAAGAGGGGAUGCAAAGCAAUGGUCCUGAAGUAGCUGCAUAGUCAGUGUGGAGCAUGCAGAGGGCAGCACAAGUCGGCGAGUGCAGGCCCAAUAGAGAAUCUGGUAGAAGAAACUCUUGUCCCCUUGGUUGCAGGCGCUGCUGCAUCGAACAGGCUCAUGACUCGCGGGAGCGACCCCAACCUGUAGAAGGGCUGGCCAGAUGUGUGAACAGAGACCCACAGAUUGCGACGCUGGUUCCUUGUGUCGACUGCUGAUAUGAAUGCCGUUACGUUUUGGAUUGUUUCCAGAAACACUCAGUAGGGAUGACGGUCCACGGCAGCACCCGAGAAAUGUUUCGCGCCCCGAUGUAUUAAUUCAUGUGCGGUGAUAAUACAGAUAUGUCUCACAGACUUUAAGUAUGCCGGUUUAGAGCAUGCUACACUAUUUUGCCACUCCUGAUGCAGCGGGCGACAGCAGUUACACGAAGAUGGAACCGACACACUGGUCGUGGUAACACUUCAGAUCGGCGGUAGUGAGCAAUGAUAAACUUUCUUGUUCCCGGCAUAGCGGUGCCGCAAUGCUGCAGUAUGAGACAGUACGGAAAGGCAUGCCACUGUUGCACCCAGAAUCUCAAAACAGAGUGUGAUGCUCAGCAGUUUUCUGGCGUACGGAUGACGUAGCCUGCUGCCCGAGCAUUGUCCAGGAAUAUCGUGAUUGGCACUCGACGUGCAAAUGAAGAUGAAUCAUGAAGCCGUCGUCUCUGCAUUCCGCAUAAGGAGACUCUGUGUCGGACAGGCAAGGAAGCAUCGUCAUCGAAGCCCACUUUUCCACCCAAUCCGAUUUUUCGUUGUUGCUGUUGCUAGCGGGACUCUUUCUACUGUACGUUCAGUGCGCCACUAUUGCCUGUUGGUCUAACGAGGAUGGAGCAGUUUGCUGGUGCAUCGCCUUUUUAUUGGAUGUGCAAGCUCAUUAUAACGUGUGGAUUCAAUCUGAGUAUCGUGUCACCCGGGGGGUUUUGUGUGUCCACAGCUGCUUGCUGUCCCUAACGCCGCCUGUGUCUGUUUGCAACGACUGUGACUCUUUUUAUUGUCACCAUGAUCAAUGUACUCGCCGUUGUGCUACAUGUCGGACUGUCUGGCGUUGCAACGCCUUCGCGUCGUCGCUGGUUCACCGCAAGUCCAACCGCACGGUCCUCUAUUCUUCUUCCGUGUGUGGCAGCGGGACCGCGGGCGUUGUGCCGAUUUGCGCGUACUCUUGCGUGUCGCCGCUAAUAGAUGUGGCAACCGUGUUCGCAUGCCAUUUUACGCUGAGACGUAGUGGAUGUGUGUCACGCCCGUUUGUGGGAGGUUGAGCCACGGGGACUCUAGAAGGCGGUGGCGACACUCGACGCUAUCCAUUCGUCAUGACUCGCGAGUGGAGUGCUUAUGUAUUCGUGACAUGACUACACGGUAGUGGCGUUUCCUCGCGGUCGCGGAAGGCGGUAGGCGACCACAGGAGUACCAAGCACGGUGACGAACAGUUUGGUGGCGGAUAGAAUGAGCGAAAUCGGGCGUUGCUCAGGUGCCCGACAGAAGAGGAAGUCGUCGAUGCCAUGAAUUAGGAGUACGUGCAGUGGCGGAAUGUAGCACGGUAUCAUUUUAGCGCUACAAUGCUGCCAAGACAGAAACGAAACGCUAAUGUGACUUUUUCAUGUGCGCCAGCUCUUGCUUGAGAUGGCGUACCUGCGUAACUCAAAGAAAUUGGAGCAUGCAAGGGGGACGCGCGUGACGUUGGCGUCGUGAUUCACAAGAAAGGACACGUCCCGGUACAGGAAGCCUCUCUUGCAUGCGUUGCAAGUGAAAAAAAACACAGCUCCAUCACAGAGGCUCGUGACCCACGUAAACGAGUGUGGUUUGUGGAACGGAUUGCCUGAUCCGUGCGUCGAGAGGUUUUGCAUCUGUCACGGCUUGGCAUCGACAGGUCGUCUGAAGGGUUCCUUGGUGUGUUUCGGAUUCAGAGAGAAUGCGUAAGGACGACCUGGGAUAACGGAACGCUGCAUCGGAUGCUCACCGUUUUGCAUCGAUACACACGUGGAGACAAUACGGAAGUGAGCUGGAACCAUUCUGUUGAGAAGCGAUGGAACAAGCAGCAGGAAUAUGCUGCUCUUCGUGCUUAUGUCGGUAAGACGUAAAGAUUGAAAUGUGUGAGCACCAGGAUCGGCGAAGGCAUGUACGCAGGGGCGAGUAUCGUUUUGCUGUAUCCAUGUCGGAAAAGCCUUGCAACGAUUCUGCAGUAUCAGCAGGUACGCAAACUACGGUUGCCUGCGUGCCUGAAUAACCAUUCUGUAACUACCCAUCAGGCGUCUUUCCAGCCGACAGGUGCCGUAGAUUCUGCAGUAUCAGCAGGUACGCAAACUACGGUUGCCUGCGUGCCUGAAUAACCAUUCUGUAACUACCCAUCAGGCGUCUUUCCAGCCGACAGGUGCCGUAGCCUCCAACGUGAGUAUGCUACAGGCAUAUCGUGGAUUGAUGUUCCACUGCAGAUGAAGGCGACUCAUGAAGCUUACGUCUUCGUGUUCCGACUAAAGCCGAUCCCUUUCAGACCAGGUGACGGGGCAUCCUUUUUCGAUAAUCAGAUGUAUUGCAAAUUUCGUCAGCCUCGUUUUGCGUCGAAUAUCGGACUUAGUUACUCUGUGUGGCCAGGGUUACACUGGUAUCAAGUGCUGGUCAGAGAGUGGCGUAGGAUGGCACGCCAUAUGUUUCCUUGAACAAGACGUUCGCAUUGACUUAUGAAUGCAGACUCUACAUUUGGCCUCUAGGGAGUUUUCUGUUUUCUGUAGUGCGUUUCUUGAGCACGGUGCCGAUGAAUGCGUACUGGAGUUGGUCGCUACCAGCCGAGGAGCUGUCUGCUCCAACGUCCAGCGCUGCGAAGUGCAGGCCGAAUCAGUGGUCUACUUAGGGACCUGAAUCGCGAUCUCCUCGUGUGGGCGUAGCUCUGUGAGUAGAGUGGAUGCCGAGCUAGUUAUUGUGGACAGUCCGUAUAUUUUUCUCCCGUUGGUGAAAGAUGAAGCACUGCCUCAAAUGUAAACGUGGGAAACUGAGACUCAAGGGACGAGUGUCCGGUAUGAAGGAAUCACGUUGGCUGCAAAAGGCCAUGGAGUCGCAUGACACUGCCCACGUAUGCCGAGAUUUGACGACUGCGCAGUUGUUGAUGUCGUUUAGGCGAGGAAAGUACGAGGACUCCGUCACUGAAUGCCCACAAGGUCUUCCCGGCUGCGUUAGAUAACCAUGAUGGCGCUCUGCCGAAUAUAAUAGCUGAACGGUAGACUGGCUGCGUGGGUAUGGGGGCGAGUGUCGUAACGUGACGGAGACCAUGGUGGAGCCAGGUGCACCAUUUUGUUCCGUCACGUACCUGCACAUUGGUGCGGAUGCAGUGGUUGGAAGGCGCAGUGGAGAUGCUGCAACGGACGAGAUACCUGAAGCGAUUCGACUGUUGGAUGUAAUGGCGGAGAGGCAGCGUUUCAGAAUAGUACCAUUAAUGGUUUCAAUUUGUUGCUGGGGAGAGAAUGUAUCCGGAGUGCAGACACGGUGACUCAGAUUAGCGAUUGGUCGGUGGUCAUCGCAUUUACAGGAGCUGAUGCCCUUGACGACAAUGCAUGUGCCCUCGACCAACUAUCUAGUCACAACCGGCUGUUCCAGGUAUUUAUGAGUGUACGUGUGUUUUUGACGCCCAUUCUAAGCGGCAAUGCGGAGUACAGAGACGGUAGCGAUGAGACUGUCGGCAGGUGUGCGUAUGGAAGAGUUCCAGAAGAUGCGGCACAUGAACACUGGCAUUCGUUUCAAUCGUAUCGUACCAAAGCUGGCGAACUCGUGGGUCGCAACAGACAGCAUGGGCGCUUAAACGUUCGAUAUACACUGUACCGCAGGCGAUGUACUACGGCAUUUUUGGCGGCGUUGCGGCGUUACCGGACCGAGGGCACGGGUGCGGUCGUGUGCGGGUCACGCCGGCGGCCGCGGGGGUCGCCAGUACGGUCGACGAUGAAGUGGAUUCGUCAGGUUAUUGAUUGGAAGCUGGUUGCUUGCUCGUGUGGUCCGCCGCCUAUUGUUCGAUGUGUUUCACAUAUACUAUGUCAAUAGUCGCUCUGGGGCUCUUGGGAGGAGCGUACGGCGUUGCGAGCUUCUGACCUCGUCACCGGUCUAUCGAGGGGCCGGUCUUACCAUUCUCGCUGGAGGUCGUAGUUCUAUGUGAGUUGAUAGGGCUGCAAACCACGGUAGAUCUGUUCACUAUGAUGGCCUGACGCAGGAACCAUGUUCACGUGCAGUCUUGGAGUUUGAGAAGUUGUGUCAACGUUUUAAGCACGUUCCGGAUGGAUGAGCAACACGGGCUUGAGAAGGAUAUAGAUGUAGCGCGCACUGGCUAUUUACGAUGAGUCGUUACGCGUUGCGGUUGCGUUGUCAGGAGUACUUAUCCAUUCGCGUCGAUUGCUCGUUUUGACGGAAAGUUGGUAGGCAUCGCCUGGAGCAACGCGAGUGGGAGUUAACAGUGAGGGGGAGGCGUCGUACUGAUCGUGACGCUGAGGUGCUAUUACUAGCCCGGAAAGGGAGCUGAAGAAGUUGUGGAUUUGAAGUGGCUGCAGGGACAACGUGGAACGUGCCAAGUUGCGCAGGUGAGGUUGGCGGCUGAAGGCCCAGAAGGCCCGUGGUGCACGAAUUUAUCGUCGUCUCGGUUGCAAGUACUGCUGGAUCUGACUGAUUCGUAGCCCGUGGGGAGCGGUCUCGGGUUGUGAGGCGCCAUGUCUGCCGGAAACAACAUUGCUAAUGUCAAAGCUUUCUGUUACCGAGCGUAGGUCCGAAUGACUUUGCGCUUUCGUUCAUUUCCAGCAAAAAGAA
This 6506-nucleotide long non-coding RNA is filed under the name Toxoplasma gondii VEG. Lineage: Eukaryota; Apicomplexa; Conoidasida; Eucoccidiorida; Sarcocystidae. The record is from RNAcentral.